GGAGAGAUGGCUGAGCGGUUGAAAGCGCAGCAUUGGAAAUGCUGUUUAGAAUUUUUCUAACGAGGGUUCGAAUCCCUCUCUUUCCA
Molecule: transfer RNA, 86 nt
Filed under: Lympha mucosa
Lineage: Eukaryota; Rhodophyta; Florideophyceae; Batrachospermales; Batrachospermaceae
Description: tRNA-Ser
Rfam family: tRNA
About the family: Transfer RNA (tRNA) molecules are approximately 80 nucleotides in length.
Source: RNAcentral